This 518-nucleotide ribosomal RNA is filed under the name Gymnodiniaceae sp. ZH-2018a. RNAcentral's name for it is "partial large subunit ribosomal RNA". It matches the Rfam family "Eukaryotic large subunit ribosomal RNA", at positions 337 to 840 of the family's 3401-position model. The record is from RNAcentral. Lineage: Eukaryota; Dinophyceae; Gymnodiniales; Gymnodiniaceae.
AGACACAGCAAGUACCAUGAGGGAAAGAUGAAAAGGACUUUGAAAAGAGGUUUAAAAGUGCAUGAACUCGCUGAAAGGAAAUCGGAUGGAACCAGUCGUGCUCGGCGAGAUUGUUGCGUGCAAAAGUGACUACUCACUGCUUGUAGCGUAAGCGCAACGACGGGUUUCGAUCUGGUCGUGCGUGACGCCUCUUGCCUUGUUCGUCAUCGUUGGUUCGGAGGCGCGGACAACUCUUGGGACGUGCUAACUUGCCCUCGGGCGAGCGAAUGUGCCCUGCAGAACUCAUCUCCAAACUGAUGUCUCUUGUUAGGUUAUGUUGCCGUACACGGCACGUUCUUGACAAAGCGUGGUGACGGAAUGGUUCUAUUCGACCCGUCUUGAAACAUGGACCAAGGAGUCUAACAUAUAUGCAAGUACUUGGGUGGCGAAACCUAGCGUCAGCAACCGACCAAUCAAUUGGGAGAGGUGUGAGCAUGAGCAUAUCUGUUAGGACCCGAAAGAUGGUGAACUACCCCUGA